GACGAACGCUGGCGGCGUGCUUAACACAUGCAAGUCGAACGGUAAGGCCCUUCGGGGUACACGAGUGGCGAACGGGUGAGUAACACGUGGGUGAUCUGCCCUGCACUUCGGGAUAAGCCUGGGAAACUGGGUCUAAUACCGGAUAGGACUCCGGACUGCAUGGUCUGGGGUGGAAAGCUUUUGCGGUGUGGGAUGGGCCCGCGGCCUAUCAGCUUGUUGGUGGGGUGAUGGCCUACCAAGGCGACGAGGGGUAGCCGGCCUGAGAGGGUGACCGGCCACACUGGGACUGAGAUACGGCCCAGGCUCCUACGGGAGGCAGCAGUGGGGAAUAUUGCGCAAUGGGCGCAAGCCUGAUGCAGCGACGCCGCGUGAGGGAUGACGGCCUUCGGGUUGUAAACCUCUUUCAGCACAGACGAAGCGCAAGUGACGGUAUGUGCAGAAGAAGGACCGGCCAACUACGUGCCAGCCGCCGCAGUAA
Molecule: ribosomal RNA, 478 nt
Filed under: uncultured bacterium
Lineage: Bacteria
Description: partial 16S ribosomal RNA
Rfam family: Bacterial small subunit ribosomal RNA
Source: RNAcentral